This is an RNA transcript of Epinephelus fuscoguttatus (brown-marbled grouper), 1876 nucleotides long. RefSeq lists it as uncharacterized. The transcript is spliced from 8 exons. Lineage: Eukaryota; Metazoa; Chordata; Actinopteri; Perciformes; Serranidae. The record is from RefSeq and is a predicted model, not a curated record.
AGACAGAGAGGCAUGAUGGCUGAAUUCAGAUGGAUUAAAAUGUCUUUAUUUCUGAUACUGAUGCUUCAGUUUACAGCAGCAGGACAGCUUUUCCGCUCCCUCACUUUUAGAGUUGGAGAUGACAUCACUUUGUCUUGUGAAAAUGUGAUAGAUGAUCAGAAUAACUGUGACAGUACCGUAUGGCUCUUCAGUGAAUCAAGAAGCACACGGACAGUAGUGCUGGUUGAUCUUGGGAAGAUUGUUGAAAAUGCUAAAUCAGACAGACUGAGUGUUACAGAGAACUGUUCUCUGGUUAUAAAGAAGCUCACAGAUGAAGAUGUUGGACGUUACGCCUGCAGACAGUUCAGAUCAGGACAACGACAAGGUCAAGAUGCUGUGGUUGAACUGUCUGUUCUUAGAAUGACUGAACGUCAGGACACUGAUGAGGUGACAUUAACCUGCUCUGUGAGGACAUAUGAACGAUGUCCACACACAGUGAAGUGGCUGUUUCAGGGUCAAGAUGUGGAUAAAGACAACAAGGACAUAAAGACAUCACAGUCUCUCUGCUCUGCCUCUGUGACCUUUCUGACUUCUGUCUACAUUUACACAUCAAGAUAUAAGUUAUUUACAUGUGCAGUGACUGAUGGUGACAGAGUGCAGGUGUUUCCCUUCAGAUCUCAAUCCUCAGGUGAGGACACAACAACAGCAGCAACAACAGCAUCAACAACAGUUGCGACCGCGACAGCUUCUGCAACCAAUGAUGCUUCAACUAAAGGUUGGUGGUUGAGGUUCUUCAUUGUGUCUGUGGGUUUAUCAGUGCUCAUAAUAAGUGUUGUGGCAGUCAACAUGUGGACAAGAACUAAAGAGAAGAAAACACAGAUGGAUGAAAUCACUGUGCGUUAUGAUGAAGCUGAUGGUACAGUGAACUAUGAAAACAUCAGACCUUCUGGUGGAGUUUGACCAACACUUCUGGCUCCAUCAGACUCCACUGAUCAACUCAUCACGUUUCACAUGACCAGUUAAAUACUGGAAAUAACAACAACAAAAAAGAGAGGCUUAUUAUGUUAUUUUAGUCUGAUGUCUUUUCUUCCAUCAGCUGUAAAAACUUUUCUUGUCGGCAGUCAGGUCAGAAGGCAGCAAAUCUGUCGAAAUACAGAAAGAGAUGCUGAGGCUAAAACCUCCAGACGUCUGCUGCUGAUGUUAACCACAUUCUCACCAAAUCACUUCUCCUUCAGUUCUCAGGAAAACAACUUCAAAAACACAAUGAGGAACCAACAGGUCUCAGACCAGUGAAACAUCAUCUUAUCUGUGUUCCCUCCCAGCUGCUACAGUGUCACCACAUUGCACCACAGACAUCAAGAGUGAAAUUCUGCUGGGUGAGGAGUUUGACUCUUCACCUGUCUGUUCAUGUGUGCUGUCAAACAUCACCAUGAAUCCUGUCUGUUUUCUAACAAACAUCAUCCAAAGAAAACAAGUGACAUCAUUAUUUAUUUUAACCAACAAUCUUCAAACCUUCAACUUCCUCAGUCGUCGUCUUCUUCUUUUCGGAAGGUGAAACACGUCACUGUCACAAAUGCACUGUGGGACUGGACACAGUGUGAACUUGAGACUCAACAAGAGCAUGAAUACACUUUGACUGUUGCAGCAUUAAACUGGAUCACUGACUGCACAAACAUAUAACUGUCCUAUGAGACGGUUUCAGUGAAAUGUAAAAAUUGUAAGUUUUUGGCUGUUUGGACGUCUGUAACAAAUUCAGAGAUAAAAAUCUAAAACAGUGCUGAAGUCACUUUGAGGAAGUGACAUCAUACUCAUCACAGGAAGUAGCUGCAGCGUCUCUCUACUAAAGCACUAAGUUAGAAACAGUUUGAGCAUCAGAACAAGAGAAAGAAGAAGCAGA